Small nuclear RNA from Heterocephalus glaber (naked mole-rat), 120 nucleotides. Its record names the gene U4. It matches the Rfam family "U4 spliceosomal RNA". Rfam says of the family: U4 small nuclear RNA (U4 snRNA) is a component of the major U2-dependent spliceosome. The structure of U4 snRNA from yeast and human has been reported. Lineage: Eukaryota; Metazoa; Chordata; Mammalia; Rodentia; Bathyergidae. The record is from Ensembl.
AGUUUUGUGCAGUGGCAGUAUUGUAGCCAAUGAGUUAUAUCAGAGGCACAAUUAUUGCUAACUGAAAAUUUUUCUUUUAGCACCUUUUUAAACAUAAAAUAAUUCAGGUGUGGCAGCACA